UACGUAGGGUGCGAGCGUUGUCCGGAAUUAUUGGGCGUAAAGAGCUCGUAGGCGGUGUGUCACGUCGGCCGUGAAAACCUGCAGCUUAACUGUGGGCGUGCGGUCGAUACGGGCAUCACUGGAGUUCGGCAGGGGAGACUGGAAUUCCUGGUGUAGCGGUGAAAUGCGCAGAUAUCAGGAGGAACACCAGUGGCGAAGGCGGGUCUCUGGACAGUUCCUGACGCUGAGGCACGAAGGCCAGGGGAGCAAACGGG
This 254-nucleotide ribosomal RNA is filed under the name uncultured bacterium. RNAcentral describes it as "partial 16S ribosomal RNA". It matches the Rfam family "Bacterial small subunit ribosomal RNA", at positions 524 to 776 of the family's 1533-position model. The record is from RNAcentral.